GAUGAACGCUAGCGGCAGGCCUAAUACAUGCAAGUCGGACGGGAUUGUGCUUUCGGGCUCAUGAGAGUGGCGCACGGGUGCGUAACACGUAUGUAACCUACCUCAGUCAGGGGGAUAGCCUCUCGAAAGAGAGAUUAACACCGCAUAACAUAUAGGAGUAGCAUUACUUUUAUAUCAAAUAUUUAUAGGACUGAGAUGGGCAUGCGGGACAUUAGCUAGUUGGCGGGGUAACGGCCCACCAAGGCGACGAUGUCUAGGGGAUCUGAGAGGAUGGCCCCCACACUGGUACUGAGACACGGACCAGACUCCUACGGGAGGCAGCAGUAAGGAAUAUUGGUCAAUGGGCGCAAGCCUGAACCAGCCAUGCCGCGUGCAGGAAGACGGCCCUAUGGGUUGUAAACUGCUUUUGCGCCGGAAUAAACCCCCUUUCGUGAAAGGGGCUGAAUGUACGGCGAGAAUAAGGAUCGGCUAACUCCGUGCCAGCAGCCGCAGUAA
Molecule: ribosomal RNA, 495 nt
Filed under: uncultured bacterium
Lineage: Bacteria
Description: partial 16S ribosomal RNA
Rfam family: Bacterial small subunit ribosomal RNA
Source: RNAcentral